GAUGAACGCUAGCGGCAGGCCUAACACGUGCAAGUCGAGGGAGAAGCCCUUUCGGGGGCAGAAACCGGCGCACGGGUGCGUAACGCGUAUGCAACCUACCUUUCACAGGGGGAUAGCCCGAAGAAAUUUGGAUUAAUACCCCAUCAUAUUAUUGGAUGGCAUCAUUUGAUAAUUAAAACUGCGGUGGUGAAAGAUGGGCAUGCGUCCUAUUAGCUAGUUGGAGUGGUAACGGCACCCCAAGGCUACGAUAGGUAGGGGUCCUGAGAGGGAGAUCCCCCACACUGGUACUGAGACAGGGACCAGACUCCUACGGGAGGCAGCAGUGAGGAAUAUUGGUCAAUGGUCGGAAGACUGAACCAGCCAUGCCGCGUGCAGGAAGAAUGCCUUAUGGGUUGUAAACUGCUUUUAUAUGGGAAGAAUAAGGCGUACGUGUACGUUGAUGACGGUACCAUAUGAAUAAGCAUCGGCUAACUCCGCG
RNAcentral lists this ribosomal RNA (478 nucleotides) under uncultured bacterium. Its description in RNAcentral is "partial 16S ribosomal RNA". It matches the Rfam family "Bacterial small subunit ribosomal RNA", at positions 28 to 507 of the family's 1533-position model. The record is from RNAcentral.